CAGCUUGCUGUUGGUGGAUGAGUGGCGAACGGGUGAGUAACACGUGAGUAACCUGCCCCUGAUUUCGGGAUAAGCCUGGGAAACUGGGUCUAAUACCGGAUACGACCAUCUGACGCAUGUUGGGUGGUGGAAAGUUUUUCGAUCGGGGAUGGGCUCGCGGCCUAUCAGCUUGUUGGUGGGGUAAUGGCCUACCAAGGCGACGACGGGUAGCCGGCCUGAGAGGGCGACCGGCCACACUGGGACUGAGACACGGCCCAGACUCCUACGGGAGGCAGCAGUGGGGAAUAUUGCACAAUGGGGGAAACCCUGAUGCAGCGACGCAGCGUGCGGGAUGACGGCCUUCGGGUUGUAAACCGCUUUCAGCAGGGAAGAAGCGAGAGUGACGGUACCUGCAGAAGAAGUACCGGCUAACUACGUGCCAGCAGCCGCGGUAAUACGUAGGGUACGAGCGUUGUCCGGAAUUAUUGGGCGUAAAGAGCUCGUAGGUGGUUGGUCACGUCUGCUGUGGA
RNAcentral lists this ribosomal RNA (509 nucleotides) under Brevibacterium epidermidis. Its description in RNAcentral is "bacterial SSU rRNA". It matches the Rfam family "Bacterial small subunit ribosomal RNA", at positions 76 to 598 of the family's 1533-position model. The record is from RNAcentral. Lineage: Bacteria; Bacillati; Actinomycetota; Actinomycetes; Micrococcales; Brevibacteriaceae.